Molecule: non-coding RNA, 32 nt
Organism: Marinosulfonomonas sp. PRT-SC04
Lineage: Bacteria; Pseudomonadati; Pseudomonadota; Alphaproteobacteria; Rhodobacterales; Paracoccaceae
Source: Rfam
AGAGAGUAAGCCGAAAAUCUAAAGAGUAGGCA